UGUAUCCGCGGACCCACCUACUCCCACA
RNAcentral lists this non-coding RNA (28 nucleotides) under Mus musculus (house mouse). Lineage: Eukaryota; Metazoa; Chordata; Mammalia; Rodentia; Muridae. The record is from RNAcentral.